GCGUGGGGGCAGCUUACCAUGCAGUCAGGGGACCCGCAAGGGUAACCGGCGAACGGGUGCGUAACACGUGAGCAAGCUUCCGAUUUGUGGGGGAUAGCCGGCCUAACGGCCGGGUAAUACCGCAUACGUUCACUGGACGGCAUCGUCUGGUGAGGAAACCUCCGGGGCAAAUCGAGGCGCUCGCGGCCUAUCAGCUAGUUGGCGGGGUAACGGCCCACCAAGGCGACGACGGGUAGCUGGUCUGAGAGGAUGGCCAGCCACAUUGGGACUGCGACACGGCCCAGACUCCUACGGGAGGCAGCAGUGGGGAAUAUUGCGCAAUGGACGAAAGUCUGACGCAGCGACGCCGCGUGUGGGAUGAAGCCUUUCGGGGUGUAAACCACUGUUGCCCGGGACGAAACUCCUUUUUCGAAAGGACUGACGGUACCGGGUGAGGAAGCACCGGCUAACUCUGUGCCAGCAGCCGCGGUAAUACAGAGGGUGCGAGCGUUGUCCGGAAUCACUGGGCGUAAAGGGUGCGUAGGUGGCUUGGUAAGCGUGUGGUGAAAGUCCGGGGCUCAACCCCGGAUCUGCCGUGCGAACUGCCGAGCUCGAGCAUUGUAGAGGCAGGUGGAAUUCCGGGUGUAGCGGUGGAAUGCGUAGAGAUCCGGAAGAACACCAGUGGCGAAGGCGGCCUGCUGGGCAAUUGCUGACACUGAGGCACGACAGCGUGGGGAGCAAACAGGAUUAGAUACCCUGGUAGUCCACGCCGUAAACGAUGGGUACUAGUGUCUGGGGGAGCGACCCCCUGGGUGCCGGCGCUAACGCAUGAAGUACCCCGCCUGGGGAGUACGACCGCAAGGUUGAAACUCAAAGGAAUUGACGG
RNAcentral lists this ribosomal RNA (865 nucleotides) under uncultured Gemmatimonadota bacterium. RNAcentral describes it as "bacterial SSU rRNA". It matches the Rfam family "Bacterial small subunit ribosomal RNA", at positions 42 to 916 of the family's 1533-position model. The record is from RNAcentral. Lineage: Bacteria; Pseudomonadati; Gemmatimonadota.